This 921-nucleotide ribosomal RNA is filed under the name Triticum aestivum (bread wheat). Its description in RNAcentral is "partial small subunit ribosomal RNA". The record is from RNAcentral. Lineage: Eukaryota; Viridiplantae; Streptophyta; Magnoliopsida; Poales; Poaceae.
AUGGCGUCUUCUGGUAAGCUCGUGGGUCUAGCUCUAAUACUGCUGCUCUUCAUGGCGGCGACGAUCAUGGCGGCGGUGGCAGGCGUCGAGUCCUACAGCUUCCCCGUCUUCAACGCCACCACGACGGCCAGCCUGGUUGCCGCCACGAACACGACCGUGGUCGGGCCGGCGGCGCUGCUCUUCCAGCCCGAGAUCGACUCCACCGCGGCCAGCAUCAACGUGUCCGAGGGCUUCCUGCUCCUCCCGGACACGGUCGACGUCUGGCGCGCGGGCGCGGGCGGUGGGCUGCUGCCUGCGCGCGAGGCGUCCUUCAACACGAGCUUCACGGUGGAGAGCUCCGCCACCCCCGUCUCCUUCGUGCUCCUCCUCGACAGGUUCCCGCUGUUCAACAGCCGGACGCGCCUCCGCGGCGCCAACGGCUCGGCCGACGCCGUGCCCGACGCCAACGCCACGGCCAGCGGCCUCGCCGCGGUCGAGGUCGGCGCGGUGAGGUCGUACGAGCCGGAGUCCCCGUACGUCGGCCUCAACGGCACCGUCACGCCCAACGGCCGCCGCGCCGUGGCCGUGUGGGUCGAGUACGACACCGCCGCGCACGUCCUGCGCGUGUACGUCGCGGCUGGCGGGGAGCCGAGGCCGCCCGGAGCCCUCAUCGACGCGCGGCUCUCUCUCGCCGGCCGGCGCACCACGCAGACCGCGAUGGUUGGGUUCUUCGCCGCCACGGUCCGCGAUGUCUUCCUCGGCGUCCGUGACUGGGACCUGACGGUGGACAGGUUAGACGCCGGCGGCAAGAAGAGAACGUCAUGGUGGGUGAUACUCAUCGCGGUGCUCGGGUCCGUGGCAGCCACAGCCGCCAUUGUCACUCUGGUGGUGCGCUACUUCGUGUCGAGGCGCCGGACGCGCAGCAUGGAACCCAAGCAAUAG